This 341-nucleotide ribosomal RNA is filed under the name uncultured bacterium. RNAcentral describes it as "bacterial SSU rRNA". It matches the Rfam family "Bacterial small subunit ribosomal RNA", at positions 28 to 369 of the family's 1533-position model. The record is from RNAcentral.
GACGAACGCUGGCGGCGUGCUUAACACAUGCAAGUCGAGCGGUAAGGCCCUUUCGGGGGUACACGAGCGGCGAACGGGUGAGUAACACGUGGGUGACCUGCCCUCAGCUCUGGGAUAAGCCUGGGGAAACCGGGUCUAAUACCGGAUAUGACUCCAUGACGCAUGUUGUGGGGUGGAAAGCCUUGUGCGGCUGAGGAUGGGCCCGCGGCCUAUCAGCUUGUUGGUGGGGNGAUGGCCUACCAAGGCGACGACGGGUAGCCGGCCUGAGAGGGCGACCGGCCACACUGGGACUGAGACACGGCCCAGACUCCUACGGGAGGCAGCAGUGGGGAAUCUUGCGC